This is a long non-coding RNA of Lytechinus pictus (painted urchin), 172 nucleotides long. RefSeq lists it as uncharacterized. The transcript is spliced from 2 exons. The record is from RefSeq and is a predicted model, not a curated record. NCBI's taxonomy places the organism in Eukaryota, Metazoa, Echinodermata, Echinoidea, Temnopleuroida, Toxopneustidae.
CCAAGAUGGCAACUUCCGAUGACCAAAGAAGGAAUCGAGGAUGACUAAGUUUUGAUCAUCAUUUGAAAGGAAUUAGCGGUAACUGCGGUCUAAGCGUUCUAUGAGAAACACACAACUAACUACCGUCAGUUUUUCAAACCUAAUUGACUUCAAAGUCAUCGAUCACAACAAG